This 253-nucleotide ribosomal RNA is filed under the name uncultured bacterium. RNAcentral describes it as "partial 16S ribosomal RNA". It matches the Rfam family "Bacterial small subunit ribosomal RNA", at positions 524 to 776 of the family's 1533-position model. The record is from RNAcentral.
UACGGAGGGUGCGAGCGUUGUCCGGAAUUAUUGGGCGUAAAGCGCGCGCAGGCGGUCUCUUAAGUCUGAUGUGAAAGCCCACGGCUCAACCGUGGAGGGUCAUUGGAAACUGGGAGACUGGAGUAUAGGAGAGGAAAGUGGAAUUCCACGUGUAGCGGUGAAAUGCGUAGAGAUGUGGAGGAACACCAGUGGCGAAGGCGACUUUCUGGCCUAUUACUGACGCUGAGGCGCGACAGCGUGGGGAGCGAACAGG